UUUUAGGGUCUUUUGAGGAUCCAUCCACCCUCAUGGAUGCCAGUCAGAUUCAUUUCCACUGAGCCACGAUGGUAACUCCUGUGAUAUUUUUAGGUAAUGUAUUUCACUAGUCCAUUUUACUAAUAUUUAUUGAAAACUAGGAGUUCCAUAUUGGUGCAGCAGAAACGAAUCCCACUAGGAACCAUGAGGUUGCAGGCUGGACCCCUGGCCUUGCUCAGUGGAUUAAGAAUCUGGCGUUGUUACGAGCUGUGGUGUAGGUUGCAGACGCAGCUCAGAUCUGGCAUUGCUGUGGCUUUGGCAUAGGCCAGCAGCAACAGCUCUGAUUAGACUCCUAGCCUGGGAACCUCCAUAUACCACAGGUGCAGCUUUAAGAAGACAAAAGACAAAAAAAAAAAGAAAAAAAAAAAGAAAACUACUUUAUGCCAGAAAUUCUUCAAAGCACCUAGGGAUCCAUCAGCAGACAAACAGGUGAGGAUCUCCACCCUCUUGGAGCUUGAGUAUCCUACACUAGAGCAGUGUAUUAGAGUAAGGGAAGUGUGUGGGGAAAAGAAAACAGAGCAAGUUAAGAGGAUUGAGAGUGCUUAGAAAUGGGGUCCAGAUCCCAGUUUCCACUAGAAUGAUCAUAAGAUGAACAAAUAAUAAAUUAAUCAUUCUGAUAAUGCUUAUGGCAUGUGGAAGUUCCCAGGCCGGGAAUCAAACCUGUGCCACAAAAGUGACCCAAGCUGCUACAGUGACAAUGCUGGGUCCUAAACCCGCUGUGCCACAAGGGGAAUCCAGGAGGGUGAUAAAUCUUAAAGGGUUCUAAGAUCCUUGUAUUUUCCAUAAAGAAGGUAAAAAUACCAAGUAAUAUUCAAGUUUGUAAGUCAAAGAUCUCUGGGACCAGUAACGAAAGUAAAGAUAAUAAAUAACUAACGAGGCAAAUGGCAACAAGGGAAUAUAUAUAAUAAAUAAUACAAAUCAAUCCAAAAGAAGCCAGAGAAGGAAAAAAAACCCUGGAAACACUGCAGGAAUCUAUGACAAAUCCUAUAUGGAAUUAAAUUAUAGGUAGAGCAGAGUAAAUGGUCUAGAGACAUCUAAAACCAAAAAGUCUCUGGUAGGGCAUCAGAAGUAUUUUGUACAAGGAUCAGAUGUCUAAAUACAAAUUAACUCAAUUCCUAAUUAAACUACAGUUUAUCUUAAUGUUCUCCUGAGGCAAAAAUAAGUCUUCACCUAAAGAAAAAAAAAUGUAUCCAGAACCUCAAAUAAUCACUAUAUUUAUUUACAGUAUAACACUACAAACAUUUUUAAAAAAAAAAAAGAAAGGAAAAAUUUAGGAAUGGCAAUGACUUUUAAGAUGCCAUACUACAGGCAUGAUCCGUGAGAUAAGUAACUGAUAAGCUCUACUACAUUAAAAUUAAAAGUUUCUGCUCUGCAAAAGGCAAAUGUAAGAGAAUGUGAAAACAAUCCACAGACUGGGAAAAAAUAUUUGCAAAACAUACAACUGAUAAAGGAAUAUUAUCCAAAAUAUACAAAGAACACUUAAGACUCAGUAAUAAGAAAACAAACAAUUUGAUUUAAAAAUGACCCAAAGAGAACUAUAUCUAGAUACUCAUGUUGCAACAGAAGAAAGGGUGGGGGAAAAAAACUGUAAUUGCAAUGUAUACAUGUAAGGAUAACCUGACCCCCUUGCUGUACAGUGGGAAAAUAAAAAAAAAAAAAAGAAAAAAAAUGACCCAAAGACCUUAACAGACACCUCACGAAAGAUGAUAAACAGACAACAAAUAAGCAUAAGAAAAGAUGCUCCAUACCAUAUAUCAUCAGGGAAAUGCAAAUUAAAAUAUAAUGUGAUAUAAUGCACCUAUGAGAAUGGCCAAAAUCCAGAAAACUGACAACAUCUAAUGCUCGUGAAAGUGUGAAGUGACAAGAACUCUUUAAAAAAAAAAAAAAAAAGUCUCUUCAUUGCUUGCUGGUAGGAAUGAAAAACAGUGCAGUCAAUUUAGAAGAUAUGCUUUAGCUAUUUCUUACAAAACAUAUUCUUACAUACGAUCCAAAAAUCAUUUUCCUUGGUAUUUAUCCAAAAGAACUGAAAUGUAAUAUUCACACAAAAAUACACAUGUGUAUGUUUAUGGAGCUUUAUUUAUAAUUGCCAAAAUGUGGAAGCAACCAAGAUGUCCUUCAGGAGAUGAAUGGAUAAAUAAACUGUGACACAUCCAGACAAUGGAAUAUUAUUGAGUGCUAAAAAUAAAGGAGCUAUCAAGCCAUGAAAAGACAUGAUGAAAGAUAAGAGAGAUGUAUAUAUAAUUAUAGUUAUGGAAAGAGAAAAGAAUAAAACAAUAUUUUAUAAAAAUGAUAGUGAGGAAUUUAAACCAUUUUCUCAAUAUUAAGAAAUGGUACCACAGAUUCAAGAAGGGUGGCAAAUCCAAAUUUUUGGAUAAUUACAUGAAGGAAGAGGAGGCAGAAGCAUACUGAGGCAUCAAUGGAGUGAAGUUAUUAAAAACCAUAAACCAAGAGAAUACCUUGAAGUGUCCAAGGAGGAUGGGGAGGAUACAUUUUCUCCAAGGGAGUUAUAAAAAGUCUGACAGCUGAUUUUACUAAGAGCACAGGGAAAUAGAUAACAAACAAAAUGCUCAAAGUGCUGAAUGAACAUUACUACCAACCUAGAUUUCUAUACCCAGGGAUUAUAUUUUAAAAGUGGAAAUGAAGUAAAAGCAUAUUUAUAAAAACAAACAAAAAAACAAAAAACUAGGUCAAUUUUUUUACCAACACAAUUGCACUAUGUAGCAACUGAAGGAAAAAGAAUCUGACACACCAAAGGAAAAUGCUUUUAAAGGACAGGGGCACCUAAAGGAAUUAAGGGUAAAUGAGAGUGUUAAAAAUGUGAGCAAAUCUAAAAGAAUGGGACUUUAUGAAGCAACAACAACAACAAUGUCUUACAGGGCUAAAGUACAUUUAGAAAUAAAAUCUAUGCCAACGAUAUUACAAAAAGUAGGAGAAGCUCCAAGGUCCUCGCAUUGUUAGAAAAUGAUAAAAAUUACUAAUAUAUGUUAGACUUUGAAUCUAGGAAGCAUGUUAAAAUCAUUAGAAAUGGCUAGUAAUAGAAAAUUUAAAAAAAAGAAGUG
This 3098-nucleotide long non-coding RNA is filed under the name Sus scrofa (pig). Its description in RNAcentral is "lncRNA (ENSSSCG00000060546.1, ENSSSCG00175013644.1)". The record is from RNAcentral. Lineage: Eukaryota; Metazoa; Chordata; Mammalia; Artiodactyla; Suidae.